AAAGUGGCGAACGGCUGAGUAACACGUGGGCAACCUGCCCUUUGCACUGGGAUAGCCUCGGGAAACCGAGGUUAAUACCGGAUACUCCAUAUUUGUCGCAUGGCGAAUAUGGGAAAAGCUCCGGCGGCAAAGGAUGGGCCCGCGGCCUGUUAGCUAGUUGGUGGGGUAGUGGCCUACCAAGGCAAUGAUGGGUAGCCGGGUUGAGAGACCGACCGGCCAGAUUGGGACUGAGACACGGCCCAGACUCCUACGGGAGGCAGCAGCA
RNAcentral lists this ribosomal RNA (265 nucleotides) under uncultured Atopobium sp. RNAcentral describes it as "partial 16S ribosomal RNA". It matches the Rfam family "Bacterial small subunit ribosomal RNA", at positions 92 to 355 of the family's 1533-position model. The record is from RNAcentral. Lineage: Bacteria; Bacillati; Actinomycetota; Coriobacteriia; Coriobacteriales; Atopobiaceae.